CUUGGAAAAAACUGUUUCUGCUCAAUGAAUGGCUCGAUAUAAUCUGUAAUUGCGUAGAAACAAUUAUGCAGCAGGCUGUUUUGUACUUAAUAGUAUUUACAUCCUUGGCUUUAUUAGCAACAAAAUCUAAGUGGAACUUGUGAAAGAGAAAUUAAUUUUUCCACUAAAAGGUAUAAACUUUUAAGUUAAAGAUCCAGCUGAUUGUGGAAAUCUAAAAUAUAUGCAAUAGACUCUAAUUUAACUUAUUUCCCACUGAAAUGUUUCAUUAUUCUUUCAGAUACCUGUGGCAGUUGGAUUGAUAAUCUGCACCCAAGGAGUUCCAUGCAAACUCCCGUGACCUGAGCUAAAUUCCUCAGCACUUCCACCUCCCUGGUGAACUGCAGUGAAUUCCCUGCCAAAGCCCUCACCACUGCACACUCCUGGUGCCAGCAGUAUCCUGGGAGGACCAGUGUAUGCAAAAUGCUGUGUUACUGCUAUCAUCUAGCAGGGUUUGUCAGGAAUGACACACAAAUACGAAAAAUGAACAGAUCCAAAUUCAAUCAAGAGAGCCAGCAGCAUUCAGUACCCACCUGGUGA
This 576-nucleotide long non-coding RNA is filed under the name Numida meleagris (helmeted guineafowl). Its description in RNAcentral is "lncRNA (ENSNMEG00000022000.1)". The record is from RNAcentral. Lineage: Eukaryota; Metazoa; Chordata; Aves; Galliformes; Numididae.